This 253-nucleotide ribosomal RNA is filed under the name uncultured bacterium. Its description in RNAcentral is "partial 16S ribosomal RNA". It matches the Rfam family "Bacterial small subunit ribosomal RNA", at positions 524 to 776 of the family's 1533-position model. The record is from RNAcentral.
UACGAAGGGGGCUAGCGUUGCUCGGAAUCACUGGGCGUAAAGGGCGCGUAGGCGGCCAUUCAAGUCAGGGGUGAAAUCCUGGAGCUCAACUCCAGAACUGCCUUUGAUACUGAGGAUCUUGAGUUCGGGAGAGGUGAGUGGAACUGCGAGUGUAGAGGUGAAAUUCGUAGAUAUUCGCAAGAACACCAGUGGCGAAGGCGGCUCACUGGCCCGAUACUGACGCUGAGGCACGAAAGCGUGGGGAGCAAACAGG